This 801-nucleotide ribosomal RNA is filed under the name uncultured soil archaeon. RNAcentral's name for it is "bacterial SSU rRNA". It matches the Rfam family "Archaeal small subunit ribosomal RNA", at positions 77 to 865 of the family's 1478-position model. The record is from RNAcentral.
CACGGUUCACAGCUCAGUAACACGUGGCUAACCUGCCCUUGGGACGGGAACACCCCGGGAAACUGGGGCUAAGUCUCGAUAGGCGAAAAUCUCUGGAAUGAGUUUCCACCUAAAGGGUGCUGCGUUAUGCUCGCAGUUUCGCCCAAGGAUGGGGCCGCGGCCGAUCAGGUUGUUGGUGAGGUAAUGGCUCACCAAGCCUUUUACCGGUGCGGGCCGUGGGAGCGGGAACCCGGAGAUGGGCACUGAGACAAGGGCCCAGGUCCUACGGGGCGCAGCAGUCGCGAAAACUUUGCAAUAAGCGAAAGCUUGACAGGGCUAUCCCGAGUGCCAUCCGCUGAGGAAGGCUUUUACCCAGUCUAGAACGCUGGGGGAAUAAGGAGAGGGCAAGUCUGGUGUCAGCCGCCGCGGUAAUACCAGCUCUCCGAGUGGUGUGGAUGUUUAUUGGGCCUAAAGCAUCCGUAGCUGGCUGGGCAAGUCCCCUGUUAAAUCCACCGAAUUAAUCGUUGGUUUGCGGGGGAUACUGCUUAGCUAGGGGACGAGAGAGGCAGACGGUAUUUUCGGGGUAGGGGUGAAAUCCUAUAAUCCCGGGAAGACCACCAGUGGCGAAGGCUGUCUGCUAGAACGCGCCCGACGGUGAGGGAUGAAAGCUGGGGGAGCGAACCGGAUUAGAUACCCGGGUAGUCCCAGCUGUAAACGAUGCAGGCUAGGUGUUUGGACGGCCACGUGCCGUUCUAGUGCCGCAGGGAAGCUGUUAAGCCUGCCGCCUGGGGAGUACGAUCGCAAGGCUGAACUUAAAGGCCA